AGAGUUUGAUCAUGGCUCAGAGCGAACGCUGGCGGCAGGCCUAACACAUGCAAGUCGAACGGACCCUUCGGGGUUAGUGGCGGACGGGUGAGUAACACGUGGGAACGUGCCUUUAGGUUCGGAAUAGCUCCUGGAAACGGGUGGUAAUGCCGAAUGUGCCCUUCGGGGGAAAGAUUUAUCGCCUUUAGAGCGGCCCGCGUCUGAUUAGCUUGUUGGUGAGGUAAUGGCUCACCAAGGCUACGAUCAGUAGCUGGUCUGAGAGGAUGACCAGCCACAUUGGGACUGAGACACGGCCCAAACUCCUACGGGAGGCAGCAGUGGGGAAUCUUGCGCAAUGGGCGAAAGCCUGACGCAGCCAUGCCGCGUGGAUGAUGAAGGUCUUAGGAUUGUAAAAUCCUUUCACCGGUGAAGAUAAUGACUGUAGCCGGAGAAGAAGCCCCGGCUAACUUCGUGCCAGCAGCCGCGGUAAUACGAAGGGGGCUAGCGUUGCUCGGAAUUACUGGGCGUAAAGGGAGCGUAGGCGGACAUUUAAGUCAGGGGUGAAAUCCCAGAGCUCAACUCUGGAACUGCCUUCGAUACUGGGUGUCUUGAGUGUGAUAGAGGUAUGUGGAACUCCGAGUGUAGAGGUGAAAUUCGUAGAUAUUCGGAAGAACACCAGUGGCGAAGGCGACAUACUGGAUCAUUACUGACGCUGAGGCUCGAAAGCGUGGGGAGCAAACAGGAUUAGAUACCCCGGUAGUCC
Molecule: ribosomal RNA, 742 nt
Filed under: uncultured bacterium
Lineage: Bacteria
Description: bacterial SSU rRNA
Rfam family: Bacterial small subunit ribosomal RNA
Source: RNAcentral